GAGUGUCCAUGAGUCACAUGCUUGUAUGAGGUGGUCUCUGUUUGAUUUAAAUGGCUAUCGUGCUGUCAUUUGACUUUCAUAUAAAAUGAUUCAGUACAUUUCAAUGAGCACAAAGGUAUUUUGAUUUCCUUGCCUAAAAUAGAUGGGUAGGAUAAACUCUUAAUUUUUGUAACAUCAUUCAUAUUCUUUAUUGUGAUAUGUUAAUAUAUUCAGUUUUUCUUCAAUGAGAAUUUCAAGCAUAAUAAAUUUGUUUAAACUGUUGGUUGCUCAUACCUGUAAUCUACUCAGGAGGCUGAGAUCUGAGGAUUGAGGUUUGAACCCAGACCAUCAGGAAAAGUCUGUGAUAUGCUUUAAAUUUUU
Molecule: long non-coding RNA, 360 nt
Organism: Perognathus longimembris pacificus (Pacific pocket mouse)
Lineage: Eukaryota; Metazoa; Chordata; Mammalia; Rodentia; Heteromyidae
Exons: 3
Source: RefSeq, a predicted model, not a curated record